Molecule: non-coding RNA, 73 nt
Organism: Dipodomys ordii (Ord's kangaroo rat)
Lineage: Eukaryota; Metazoa; Chordata; Mammalia; Rodentia; Heteromyidae
Source: Rfam
UGGAAGGUGGCUCAGUGGUAGAGUACUUGCCUUGCAUGCAGGAGGCCCUGGGUUGGAUUCCUCAGUAUCACAU